This 431-nucleotide ribosomal RNA is filed under the name uncultured bacterium. Its description in RNAcentral is "partial 16S ribosomal RNA". It matches the Rfam family "Bacterial small subunit ribosomal RNA", at positions 29 to 507 of the family's 1533-position model. The record is from RNAcentral.
AACGAACGCUGGCGGCAGGCUUAACACAUGCAAGUCGAGCGCCCCGCCAGGGGAGCGGCAGACUUGUGAGUAACGCGUGGGAACGUACCUUUUGGUUCGGAACAACUCCGGGAAACUGGAGCUAAUACCGGAUAAGCCCUAACGUGGAAAGAUUUAUCGCCUAAAGAUCGGCCCGCGUCUGAUUAGCUAGUUGGUGAGGUAACGGCUCACCAAUGCGACGAUCAGUAGCUGGUGUGAGAGGAUGAUCAGCCACACUGGGACUGAGACACGGCCCAGACUCCUACGGGAGGCAGCCGUGGGGAAUAUUGGACAAUGGGCGCAAGCCUGAUCCAGCCAUGCCGCGUGAGUGAUGAAGGCCUUAGGGUUGUAAAGCUCUUUUGUCCGGGAAGAUAAUGACUGUACCGGAAGAAUAAGCCCCGGCUAACUUCGUG